Molecule: non-coding RNA, 1018 nt
Organism: Eptesicus fuscus (big brown bat)
Lineage: Eukaryota; Metazoa; Chordata; Mammalia; Chiroptera; Vespertilionidae
Source: the annotation of a RefSeq genome assembly
CCAGAGCCCGGAGCUGGGAGAUGGCCAGUCUUGUCCUGCCUGAAUCUUCCAGGGGCCCUUGGCUCCUCUGCUGCGUGGCCCUCUGUCUUCUGGGGGCAGGUUCUGUGGCUACUGGAGUCACCCAGUCCCCAAGACACCUAAUCAAAAGUCGUGGGGCGGAGGCUGUUCUGAAGUGCCAACCCAUCUCUGGACACAGCAGUGUGUACUGGUACCAGCAGGCUCCGGGACAGGGCCCUGAGUUCCUCAUUAGUUUUUAUGAAAAGGAGGAGGGACAGAAAGGAAACAUCCCUGAUCGGUUCUUAGGAAAACAGUUCGAUAACUACAGCUCUGAGCUGGCCAUAAGCGCCUUGCAGCUGGGAGACUCGGCCGUGUAUCUCUGUGCCAGCAGCUUAGACACAGCCCUGCAGGGUCAAUGGCUUUCUGUACUCAAACCUCCCUGCCCAGAUGAGGAUGUCACAGGAGAGGGAGGAGCCUUAGCAAGUUAUAGGACUUGCUACUUUUGUAACAUCCUCCCUGGCUUGCUGAGCUCAGCUAGAGCUUUCCUGAGUGUCCUCCCAGCUCUGCCAGCACCUUGCAUUUCUUAGCACAUGGCAGGAACUCCUGCUGUGAUAGAGUGGGGUCCAUGUUGUGUGUGCUAAUGCAUUGCCAGCAAUGUGUGUCCACUUUACAGAGGAGGUUGCUCUCAAUAUACCAUUUUAUAGUCAGGAAGCUGCAGAUCCUGGAAAUUCUGAAUAUUUCACAUAUGUUAACUCUAAAUCUCCAGGCCUCCAAAAUCAACAUUACCCCUAGAAUUCCAUGAUGCUUCCUGGGCUUGGCCCAUCCUAUCUAAUAAAAGAGAAACAUGCAAAUUGAUCGUACCUCUGCUAUGCCCACAAGCCAUGCUCACCAACCAAUCCGGAGCGAGUAUGCAAAUUAACCCAACCAAGAUGGUGGUUAAUUUGCAUAACCAGGAGCAGAGCGAAGACUGAAGACAGUGUAGAAGGAAGCCAAGCGAAGCUGUGGGGAAGCAAGUGGGGCA